Molecule: long non-coding RNA, 702 nt
Filed under: Nicotiana tabacum (common tobacco)
Lineage: Eukaryota; Viridiplantae; Streptophyta; Magnoliopsida; Solanales; Solanaceae
Description: long non-coding RNA (NTAB_LNC002335)
Source: RNAcentral
ACGAGGACUUCCCAGGGGGUCACCCAUCCUAGUACUACUCUCGAACAAGCACGAUUAACUUCGGAGUUCUGAUGGGAUCCGGUGCGUUAGUGCUGGUAUGAUCGCAUCCGACAUUCCUUGCACUCUAAAUUCUCUUUAACACCUUUCCUCCUUCCGCUUUUGGUGCGAAGGUGUAAAGCCUUAAAACGACAUACACUUUACGCCCAUUUAUCCGUUUUACGCAAUUCCUCUUUUGAUUUCUACUAUUUUUCGCGGGCAAAGACAUUCACCACCAACAACAAGCCGCACUCGACGAUAAUAUCACAAUCACAAUCGACGACAUCGCAACUAGAUGUUUUACGGAUGUAGUGACAUGUCAAGCGCAACUAGACUUAAGGGUUAACCCCGUAAAUAUUUUCCUUAUUUACUGCAUAUUGCUUUUUCUCACAAUUAUUUUCUUUAAAAAAAUUUUAUUAUUUCAUGUAAAAAAAAAUAUCGUUCAUAUCAAGUAAAACUCAUUUGUGAAUUUAUUAGAGCUACCGCAGAUAUAUUAAAAGUAGUAAGUUGCAAAUAUUGCCAAAAACAAAGGGAUGCAACACGAGGACUUCCCAGGGGGUCACCCAUCCUAGUACUACUCUCGCCCAAGCACGCUUAACUUCGGAGUUCUGAUGGGAUCCGGUGCGUUAGUGCUGGUAUGAUCGCAUCCGACAUUCCUUGCACUCU